AUUGAACGCUGGCGGCAUGCCUUACACAUGCAAGUCGAACGGUAACAGGUCUUCGGAUGCUGACGAGUGGCGAACGGGUGAGUAAUACAUCGGAACGUGCCCGAUCGUGGGGGAUAACGAAGCGAAAGCUUUGCUAAUACCGCAUACGAUCUACGGAUGAAAGCAGGGGACCGCAAGGCCUUGCGCGAACGGAGCGGCCGAUGGCAGAUUAGGUAGUUGGUGGGGUAAAAGCUUACCAAGCCGACGAUCUGUAGCUGGUCUGAGAGGACGACCAGCCACACUGGGACUGAGACACGGCCCAGACUCCUACGGGAGGCAGCAGUGGGGAAUUUUGGACAAUGGGCGAAAGCCUGAUCCAGCCAUGCCGCGUGCAGGAUGAAGGCCUUCGGGUUGUAAACUGCUUUUGUACGGAACGAAAAGACUCUGGUUAAUACCUGGGGUCCAUGACGGUACCGUAAGAAUAAGCACCGGCUAACUACGUG
Molecule: ribosomal RNA, 482 nt
Filed under: uncultured bacterium
Lineage: Bacteria
Description: partial 16S ribosomal RNA
Rfam family: Bacterial small subunit ribosomal RNA
Source: RNAcentral